CUUUACUUAGACUUACGUGGACUACUUCCCAAUGAGAAAAUCUCAAUUAUCCUUUCUUCUUUCUAAGAAGUUCCUUGCAAAUAUGAUAUAACUUUAUAUAACUUAUUUCUGUUAAUUUAUUUUAAAAUAUGUAUGCCAAAAUUUGUCAGUUUAUUUGUUUGUUUCUGCUGUGGAAAUCUUCUCUCGCCUUCCCGAAUCUAGCAAAAGUUAAUUAUUUGGUAUAUAUACUGAGUUUAUGAUUAUUUUAAAAUAUAUGAUGAUUUUUUUUAAAAAAAGUUUAUGAUGUAAUAUAACUAAAACUCUUCUAACAAAUAGCAUGACAUAAUUAAACAAAAUUAGUAUUAGAUAUAAUGUAUAACCACAUUGCUAUAUCAGUUCGAAAAACCCACAUUGCUAUAAAUACAGCACUAGACUAUAGCUUCUUUCA
Molecule: long non-coding RNA, 427 nt
Filed under: Brassica napus (rape)
Lineage: Eukaryota; Viridiplantae; Streptophyta; Magnoliopsida; Brassicales; Brassicaceae
Description: long non-coding RNA (BNAP_LNC011705)
Source: RNAcentral